RNAcentral lists this ribosomal RNA (492 nucleotides) under uncultured bacterium. RNAcentral's name for it is "partial 16S ribosomal RNA". It matches the Rfam family "Bacterial small subunit ribosomal RNA", at positions 29 to 507 of the family's 1533-position model. The record is from RNAcentral.
AGUGAACGCUGGCGGUAGGCCUAACACAUGCAAGUCGAACGGCAGCACAGUAAGAGCUUGCUCUUACGGGUGGCGAGUGGCGGACGGGUGGGGAAUACAUCGGAAUCUACUUUUUCGUGGGGGAUAACGUAGGGAAACUUACGCUAAUACCGCAUACGACCUACGGGUGAAAGCAGGGGAGCUUCGGACCUUGCGCGAUUGAAUGAGCCGAUGUCGGAUUAGCUAGUUGGCGGGGUAAAGGCCCACCAAGGCGACGAUCCGUAGCUGGUCUGAGAGGAUGAUCAGCCACACUGGAACUGAGACACGGUCCAGACUCCUACGGGAGGCAGCAGUGGGGAAUAUUGGACAAUGGGCGCAAGCCUGAUCCAGCCAUACCGCGUGAGUGAAGAAGGCCUUCGGGUUGUAAAGCCCUUUUGUUGGGAAAGAAAAGCAGCAGGUUAAUACCCCGCUGUUCUGACGGUACCCAAAGAAUAAGCACCGGCUAACUUCGUG